GACGAACGCUGGCGGCGUGCUUAACACAUGCAAGUCGAACGCUGAAGCUCAGCUUUUGUUGGGUGGAUGAGUGGCGAACGGGUGAGUAACACGUGAGUAACCUGCCUCCUUCUUUGGGAUAACGCCCGGAAACGGGUGCUAAUACUGGAUAUUCACUGGUCUUCGCAUGGGGGUUGGUGGAAAGGGUUUUUCUGGUGGGGGAUGGGCUCGCGGCCUAUCAGCUUGUUGGUGGGGUGAUGGCCUACCAAGGCUUUGACGGGUAGCCGGCCUGAGAGGGUGACCGGUCACAUUGGGACUGAGAUACGGCCCAGACUCGUACGGGAGGCAGCAGUGGGGAAUAUUGCGCAAUGGGCGCAAGCCUGAUGCAGCGACGCCGCGUGAGAGAUGGAGGCCUUAGGGUUGUGAACCUCUUUCGCUCAUGGUCAAGCCGCAACAAUGGUUGUGGUGAGGGUAGUGGGUAAAGAAGCGCCGGCUAACUACGUG
This 483-nucleotide ribosomal RNA is filed under the name uncultured bacterium. RNAcentral's name for it is "partial 16S ribosomal RNA". It matches the Rfam family "Bacterial small subunit ribosomal RNA", at positions 28 to 507 of the family's 1533-position model. The record is from RNAcentral.